UACGUAGGGUGCAAGCGUUGUCCGGAAUUAUUGGGCGUAAAGAGCUCGUAGGCGGUCUGUCGCGUCUGCUGUGAAAACCUGGGGCUUAACCCCGGGCCUGCAGUGGGUACGGGCAGACUAGAGUGCGGUAGGGGAGACUGGAAUUCCUGGUGUAGCGGUGAAAUGCGCAGAUAUCAGGAGGAACACCGGUGGCGAAGGCGGGUCUCUGGGCCGUAACUGACGCUGAGGAGCGAAAGCAUGGGGAGCGAACAGGAUUAGAAACCCCCGUAGUCC
This 273-nucleotide ribosomal RNA is filed under the name uncultured bacterium. Its description in RNAcentral is "partial 16S ribosomal RNA". It matches the Rfam family "Bacterial small subunit ribosomal RNA", at positions 524 to 796 of the family's 1533-position model. The record is from RNAcentral.